UGAUAAUAAUUCAAGGUUUAAUCUGCUCAAUGAUUAUUUAAAUUGCCGCAGUAUUUUAACUGUGCAAAGGUAGCAUAAUAAUUAGCUUUUUAAUUGAAAGCUGGAAUGAAUGAUUGGACGAGAAAAUUUCUGUCUCUUUAUUAAUUUUAUUUAAUUUUACUUUUAAGUUAAAAGGCUUAGAUUUUUUUAAAAGACGAGAAGACCCUAUAGAGUUUAAUUUAAUUUAGUUGGGGUGACUAAAAGAUUUAUAAAACUCUUUUAAUUAUAAUCAAUUAUUGUUGAAUACAAAAUCUAUAUUUUUAAAUUUAAAAUAAAUUACCUUAGGGAUAACAGCGUAAUUUUUUUUAAAAGUUCAUAUUAAAAGAAAAGUUUGCGACCUCGAUGUUGGAUUAAAAUUUAUUUUGGGUGUAGAAGCUUAAAUAUUAAGUCUGUUC
Molecule: ribosomal RNA, 434 nt
Filed under: Luciola sp. JCD-2007
Lineage: Eukaryota; Metazoa; Arthropoda; Insecta; Coleoptera; Lampyridae
Description: partial 16S ribosomal RNA
Rfam family: Bacterial large subunit ribosomal RNA
Source: RNAcentral